ACUGGGUGUGGUGGUGCAUGCCUGUAAUCCCAGUGACUCGGGAGGCUGAGGCAGGAGGAUCACAAGUUCGAGGGCAAACUCAGCAACUUAGUGAGGCCCUAAGAAACUUAGUGAGACCCUCUCUCAA
This 127-nucleotide small RNA is filed under the name Marmota monax (woodchuck). Lineage: Eukaryota; Metazoa; Chordata; Mammalia; Rodentia; Sciuridae. The record is from RNAcentral.